RNAcentral lists this long non-coding RNA (498 nucleotides) under Bos indicus x Bos taurus (hybrid cattle). RNAcentral describes it as "lncRNA (ENSBIXG00000020097.1)". The record is from RNAcentral. Lineage: Eukaryota; Metazoa; Chordata; Mammalia; Artiodactyla; Bovidae.
ACGGCUCCCUGAGCUGCAGGUGGCUACCAGCAGCCCAGAGUCUACUUUAGUCUGUUCUGCAGGCUGGAUGUGUGGACCAGCGCUUCAUUUCAUGCCUGAUGUGUGGUCUAAAAUUGUCCUCGCAAAAGAAACGCCUAGAGGAAAAUGCACUUUCCCACAACUUCCAGAGGCACUGAGUAAUAAUGGAUUUCAGUGUUGCUGAGCUCCUUGAAGAUCAAGUGCAACCCCUGAAGGUGGGUAAAGUGAGGUUCAGGGCGUCUCCGAGGUGUCUCUUGAUACUUGCUGGCAGAACGGUUUCCCUUCAGUGUCGUUAAGUGCCGUCCCUUCCAUGGGGUGUACAACCCCUCGGGGCUCUCUGGAGUCAGUCUGUUGUUCUCUGUCUCUGUGCUGAGUAACCCUGGAAGGCCAAGCCACAAGAUUCUGUGCGGAGAUUCGGAAAAAAGAGAAAACAUCGUGGGACGUGUAUGCUAUCCUUAAAGCCUCCGCUUUAGCUCUGAG